This is a long non-coding RNA of Heterocephalus glaber (naked mole-rat), 2175 nucleotides long. NCBI's taxonomy places the organism in Eukaryota, Metazoa, Chordata, Mammalia, Rodentia, Bathyergidae. The record is from Ensembl.
CUGACCGAUCGCCCCCUCCCCCAGUUGCCAAGUCAGGGUAACAAGUCAGGAGAUUCACUAUGUGUGACAGCAAGGAGUGACAUGUAUGCAGCCACAGAAAUUUGAGGUUCGGAUCUGCAUGAACAGAGAAGAGCCACACAAUGAUUUUUAAAAGAUCAAAGUAAGUUUAUUAUAAAAGUACAGCAGAUAAUAAGCAUAGUCAAAUAAUACCACACAAGGUAAGGGACAGCACCAAAGAUGAAGGGGAAUCCUCCAGGGGAAGGAUCUUUUAUGAGAUGGAGCCUUCAACAAGCAAGAGAGAAAACACCACACCAUACCCAGUUUCUCUGUUCCUUAAGUACUGCAUUCAGACAAAAGUGACUUGGUCCCAACAGGCCUGCGUGGCUAGAGGGACUGUUCCCAGGCUUGGCUUCUCAGAACCUUCUCAGAGCGAGCAGUACUUCAUGUGUUAACAGUUAUCUCUGUACACUCCUUUCCCAGGAGGUUGCCAGCCUCCCUGCAGAAGGGCAUUCAGCCAGUGUCACCUCAGUGAACACACACAUUCCAGAUGACACUCGUUUUAACCUUUCCCUGACAGUGUGCUACCCAAAAAGAGUGGGAACUUGAAGUAACUGGGAUCCUGCUCACAGGGAUCUGACCAGCGUGGUCCACACUGAGCCCACUACAGCAUAAGCUCCAGAGAGCAAGACAGUUUUGGUUAGCUGGGUGCUGUGGCACAUGCCUCUAAUCCCAGCUAUUCAUGAGGCUGAGGCAGGAGGACCCCAGCCUAGGUAACUUAGCAAGGUCCUCUCUCAAACUGUAAAUAAAAGGCUGAGGAUAUGGCUUAGUAGAGCACGUGCCUAGCAUGCAUGAGGCCUGGUUCAAUUUCUAGUAGAGCCAGAAAAAAAAACAAACCAGGAAAUGCUUACCUCUUGAAGUCAGUGUUGGCAGCAUGGAACAUCCCUAGCAUAUUCUUCCCAGCUAUAAGCAAAAGCUUUUAGCAGCCUGGCGUGGUAGUGCAUGCCUGUCAUCCCAGCACUUGAGAGGCUGAGGCAGGAGAAUUACAGUGAGUUCAAGCCCAGCCUGGGCUACAUAUUGAGUUCAAGGUCAGCCUGAACUACAUAGUGAGACCCUGUCUGAACUUCCCCCCCAAAAAAGGCUUUUAGGAAACCAGAAAUGCUAUGAUUAUCUCUCUUGUCUUCAGUUCCCUGAUUUCUCAGAUUUCAAAGAUGAGAUUUCCAGAGAUUGUCAGACACUUCCUAUUGCCCAACAGCUCAACUAAAGUAACAAGCAAGAGAACCAAGCAUAGUACCUAACAGCUCCUGAGAAUACUCUUUCAGCCCUAUCAAGGCCCCAAUUUAGUCUGAAUAUGAUUUGUCCCUGCCAGAAUUCAUACUAAGGCUUUGUACUUGUGACUACUGUGAUUGUUAGCCUGACUGGAUCAAAAAGCCUGCCAGAUUAGUGACACACUUCCAGGUGCAUCCAAGUGGGGCAUGGUGGUCUGACCUUGGACUCUGCAUCUGUUUCCCAGCCCUUUCCUCUCCACUCUCCUAACAACCCACUUUGCUUUCCCGCCUCCAUGAGGUGAGCAGCUGUUCUCCCCAGGCCUUUUUACCAUGUUUCUGCCUUGGAGCAAGGCAUGGACUGCACUACCUGAAACCAUGAACCAAAUCAACCUCUCCUUGAAGCCUGUGGGUGUCAGGUGCUUUGUGCCAGCGGAGGAAAGGUAAUAACACAGUGGCUAGCAUAGUGUGGAGAGAAAGCGCGAUCUUUAACAGCUGUUUGCAUAAUAGGUAUGGAACGUGAUUCAUUCCUUUCUCACAGGGCUAGGUUGAUUUUCAAGGUAGGAUCGAGUUCUCACUCUUGCAGGGCUGGACUAGUUACCACAAGAGCUGGUUGCUUUAAAGUGAGGCUGCUUGUGCUUUGCCUCUUGCUUCUUCCCUUACAUGUGCCCGCCUGUCCCCAGCUGCCUUUGUGCUUUCCACCCUGAGCUGAUGUAGCUUGAAGCCCUCCCCAGUGGCCUUCUCAGCCCCCAGAACUGCAAGCGAAAAUAAAAUUGUUUAUAAAUCACCCAGUCUCAGAUAUUCUCUGACGGUAACAGAAAAUAGACACCCUAAGACAGCCACAAAUCCUUGUUUUUUUCUUUUUUUCAGGUACUGGGGGUUGAACCCAGGGCAUUCACACUGGGCUACUUCA